Molecule: long non-coding RNA, 231 nt
Organism: Rhopalosiphum padi (bird cherry-oat aphid)
Lineage: Eukaryota; Metazoa; Arthropoda; Insecta; Hemiptera; Aphididae
Exons: 5
Source: RefSeq, a predicted model, not a curated record
AUAAUAUGGGUAUAUUUAACUAUGCAUUUUUAAUGAAAGAACCUUCAUUAAUAUCACAUUAUACUAUUUAUCUUAGUAAAGAGGGUAAAAAAAGCAACAUACUAAAUUCAGAUGACUGGUGUGAUAAGCACAAAGAUGAUAUUAUAGAAUAUUAUUCGACGGAACGAAAAGAAAAAUUAAAAAGUAAUUUCAAGGGUCGUAUGAAUGUCCUCCUAAAUCAUGUGGUUGCUG